This 305-nucleotide ribosomal RNA is filed under the name uncultured bacterium. RNAcentral's name for it is "bacterial SSU rRNA". It matches the Rfam family "Bacterial small subunit ribosomal RNA", at positions 335 to 633 of the family's 1533-position model. The record is from RNAcentral.
GCCCUACGGGGCGCAGCAGUGGGGAAUCUUCCGCAAUGGGCGCAAGCCUGACGGAGCAAUGCCGCGUGAACGAAGAAGGUCUUCGGAUUGUAAAGUUCUGUCCUUAUCGAAGAGAGGGUAUAGAGUGAAAAAUGAUAUACUAGGACGGUAGAUGAGGAGGAAGCCCCGGCUAACUACGUGCCAGCAGCCGCGGUAAUACGUAGGGGGCGAGCGUUGUCCGGAAUCACUGGGCGUAAAGGGCGCGUAGGCGGUAUUUUAAGUUAGUGGUAAAACGUCGGGGCUUCACCUUGAUUGGCCAUUAAAAC